This 253-nucleotide ribosomal RNA is filed under the name uncultured bacterium. Its description in RNAcentral is "partial 16S ribosomal RNA". It matches the Rfam family "Bacterial small subunit ribosomal RNA", at positions 524 to 776 of the family's 1533-position model. The record is from RNAcentral.
UACGGGGGGAGCAAGCGUUGCUCGGAUUUACUGGGCGUAAAGGGCGCGUAGGCGGUAGCACAAGUCAGUUGUGAAAUCUCCGGGCUUAACUCGGAAAGGUCAACUGAUACUGUGCGACUAGAGUGCAGAAGGGGCAACUGGAAUUCCUGGUGUAGCGGUGAAAUGCGCAGAUAUCAGGAGGAACACCGGUGGCGAAGGCGGAUCUCUGGGCCUUACCUGACGCUCAGGUGCGAAAGCUAGGGGAGCGAACAGG